RNAcentral lists this ribosomal RNA (396 nucleotides) under uncultured bacterium. RNAcentral describes it as "partial 16S ribosomal RNA". It matches the Rfam family "Bacterial small subunit ribosomal RNA", at positions 523 to 918 of the family's 1533-position model. The record is from RNAcentral.
AUACGUAGGUGGCAAGCGUUGUCCGGAUUUACUGGGUGUAAAGGGAGCGCAGGCGGGGAAGCAAGUCAGUUGUGAAAACUAUGGGCUUAACUCAUUGAUUGCAGUUGAAACUGUUUGUCUUGAGUGGAGUAGAGGUAAGCGGAAUUCCGAGUGUAAAGGUGAAAUGUGUAGAGAUUCGGAGGAACACCAGUGGCGAAGGCGUGUUACUGGGCUCUAACUGACGCUGAGGCUCGAAAGUGUGGGGAGCAAACAGGAUUAGAUACCCUGGUAGUCCACACUGUAAACGAUGAUUACUAGGUGUGGGGGGUCUGACCCCCUCCGUGCCGCAGUUAACGCAAUAAGUAAUCCACCGGGGGAGUACGACCGCAAGGUUGAAACGCAAAUGAAUUGACGGGG